This is a long non-coding RNA of Corapipo altera (White-ruffed manakin), 2372 nucleotides long. RefSeq lists it as uncharacterized. The record is from RefSeq and is a predicted model, not a curated record. NCBI's taxonomy places the organism in Eukaryota, Metazoa, Chordata, Aves, Passeriformes, Pipridae. The transcript has 3 exons.
GCCAGGUGGGGGUUGGUCUCUUCUCCCAGGCAACUAGUGGCAGAAUAAGAGGACAGUCUUAAGCUGCAGCAGGGGAGGUUCAGGUUGGACAACAGGAGGAACUUCUUCACAUAAAGGGUGAUUAUACACCGAGGAAGGUGGUGAAGUCACUGUCCCUGGUGGAAAGGCUGAACGUGGCACUUAGUGCCAUGGUCUAGGUGACAGGGUGGUGUUAGGUCAUAGGUCGGACUCAAGGACCUCAGAGGUCUUUUCCAACCUAGUUGCUUCUGUGAAUUUCAUACUUUGAAGGCACACAACUUGCCCCUUGGUGUCCCAGGGUUGCCUGAGGUUGCCUCAGGAUUUGAUCCUGAAGGACUGCCACAGGUGGGAAAUCCCAAAGUGGUUUAAAGGUGCAUGUUUGGGCCAUGAAGCAGACCAACAGCAGCUAUAGCCACCUGGCUGAUUUUCCUCUUCCAUUUCUGAUUCUGGUCAGGGCAGGUCCUGUUCUGUGGGUCUCAGGGAAGGCUUUUAGAUACUAAAACCUGAUAGAUGCUACUCAUCACAAAUGUUCUGUUUUCUAUUGUCUUCCCAGCACAGCAAUCACAGAUGGAGCUGAAAUGGUGCUAGGUUACAACAGAAGAAGAAACAGCCAAGACCAAAAAUGCUCUGGUUUGUCUUGGCAGAAAACGUAAAUUGUGCUGUGCUUCAAUAUGCUGUAGACCUGUCUGGAGCUCAUCUGGUAGCCUAAUAAUGGCUGAAAAUUGGGAUUGUUGAGUUGUUUGACCUGAGGCAUGUAAUCAUCCUGCCUGCAGUCUAACACCCAGUACCCUGAUGGUUGCACAGUUCUUUCCCUAUCAUGUGACCUAAACUGAUCCAUCAUGUGACCAAAAUGCAGGCAUCUUCCUUUACACAAAGGUAUGUCACUCAUGAUGGGAAGACCCAUAAAUAUCAGGUAAGAGACUGCAAGAUUUUCUCAGUUCUCUGCAGAUGGAUGUGUGCCGUGACCAUAGAUUUUUUUGGCCUACAUAAGUACAUGCAUUUUGGUUGUCUUAAGAUGUGUGUUCAGCUCUGUGGGUGCAGAAGGGCAUAUGGUGUGGUGACAUGUGGAAGUGAUUCCCUAAAAGCAAUUCUGAAUACACAGGAGGUCACUGAGCUGAACAUUGUUGGUGCCAGAGAAGAUUUAUCAUGAGGAAAUUGGGACAGGAAGCCAGGAGCAAAAAGGCUUCUGACAUCUAGAGGACUGAAGAUCUCAACAGCUUCCCAAACAGGAAAGCGAGAGUACACAGCCUAUGUUUUUUCAUGAUGAAGCUUCAUAAAUUCAGAGUCCUGGUUGGUAUGAGAAGCCAGGCUUGACCCAGGACUUGACAAUUAAAGCUGGAGGAGGGAGGGAGGUGGUACCCCCAAAGAAGGAUGAAAAGCCCUUACUGUUAGAUGUGAAGAAGCUGUCACUGAAACCAUGCUUCUUUGCUGUGGCAGGAUAUGGCAACAGCAGUAGGGGAAAGCAGGGGAAGGCUCAUCAUGGAGGUGGCUCCUGUGAGGUGUAAGCAAAACAAGGACUGUUAAUCAAGUGGCAAGUCAGCUGCUGCUCAGAAAAAGGGGUGCAAUGCUGUAUGCGAUCCUUAAAAAAUAAGAACCAAGAAGAAGUUGUGAUCUGCUGCAGAGAGCUGAGGGUGCGUCUUGGUCUUCAGAUUAAUUUAGGUAAAUUUAAUUUAUCAGUAAAUCACCUAUGAUAGGAUGUUGGAGAGACAUAAACAGGUUGUAAGUGUGGAUGGGAAAAAUAUAUACACAGCAAAACAAGCUGGUUGGGUAUGUGGAGAAGUGUAUUGCUGGAAAAUCCUGUGAGACACUUCAUACUAGCUGCAGUAUCACGUAUAAACUUGUGUCACAUGCUGUUGAUCAGGCAGAAUUCAAAUGCUGAAAGGACUAAGCUGUGGCAGAGUCUCUGGCUUUGUGUGAUUGCCAAACAACCCAGUAUGGAGCACUUGGUAGUAUCUUACCAUCUAUCUUCUACUUGUUAUGACUACAUAGUGCUGUUUCCUGGCAAUUUUGAGGUUAUUUGAAGGGCUCUGGAGAAGGGAACCUGACUGGCAUACAGCACUGGAAUGGACACAGCAACUGCUGGAAGAUGCCAGAGGAUUCACAGAGAAGAGCAGAAAGCAACAGAGAGAAGCAGAAGUGAACAAGCAUGGAGUGUAAAGAUGGAACAGAGGUUACAAGGAGGAGCAAGAGGAAUGAUCAAAGUUGUGAAACCUUUCCAUCUGAGGAGAUAGUAAAUGAAAAGUAAACAGACUAAGAUGUUUCUAUUUGGAGAAAGGGUAUGUGAGAGGAUACUAUGGAAGAAAUCUAUAAAAUGGUGAGUGGUGUUAGGACAGAUAGAACAGUCACGUACAGCU